UGGGUGGUGGUGCAUGGCCGUU
Molecule: non-coding RNA, 22 nt
Filed under: Arabidopsis thaliana (thale cress)
Lineage: Eukaryota; Viridiplantae; Streptophyta; Magnoliopsida; Brassicales; Brassicaceae
Also listed under: 4 other names
Source: RNAcentral